This 3754-nucleotide long non-coding RNA is filed under the name Equus caballus (horse). RNAcentral describes it as "lncRNA (ENSECAG00000051038.1)". The record is from RNAcentral. Lineage: Eukaryota; Metazoa; Chordata; Mammalia; Perissodactyla; Equidae.
CUCUGAGGGAGUCAGUGUGCUCUCAGAAUCCAGUCCUGUGGGCAAGCAGGAGGCGUAGUCUUUCUUCCCUUCCUUUCCCUAAGCUCACCAAGCUGUUCUUUUGAAACUUAUGACCAUCGCCCCAUCAAACCUUCUUCAACUUAAAGUCCAGGGCUGACCUGGGAGCCCUGCUUUGUUGGUAACGGGGAACACAAAAGCUGAAAAUGCCUGGAAGAGUGUGGCUUCCUGUAGCUGCAGGCCAGAGAUGUAACACCUGGGGCACUGGGUGGACCACAGAAAUAUGUUUGAUGAGAAAACUGCUAUUCUCCAUUUCUCUUCGUUGUUCUGAGCCAGGUCUCUGCCUCUUUCCUAGGGAGGAAAUUUGGUAGCAAGUGUCAGAAAAGUUAACGUCUAAGAUUGGAAUAGGUUCCUAGGGGAUGAAGGUGGGGAUGGUCAUCUCCCUUUCUACCAAACUUAGAGACAUAACGUGAUGACUCUCUUACCAUCCUUCACCCUCGCAUCUCUAGAAAGGACGAUUUUGGGGUAGCCCAGCAGCUGUAGCCUUAAGUGAAAUCGGGAGGAAAUUAUAGUUUAUCUUGGGUGUCCUCCUUUCUUUUCUGUGCCUCUCCCCUGUCCCUUUGCAUUGUUCUCUUCUCCUUCCAAGUUAUUUCUGUCCAGGAGAUUAUGUCCUCCAUCUGCUCUACCCAGAAGUGCCCAGACAGACCUCCUGGGGCAGGAGCACAUACUAGAAAAGGACUACACCUUUCUGCUUCUUCCACACUUCAUCACUACUCUGGUUCCUUUGGGGGGUUUAUCCUAGCUGGUAGUUAGGAGAAAAGCAUCUAAUUAAGAUAAUUCAAAUUAAAGUCAUGAAAAUGCUCUUCUUAAAGAGCUUGGCUAUUUCCCCAUACUCCUAAAAAUAGCCAACAUAGGCUACCCAAUUGGGCUGACAUGGGGGAAUCUUCUUUAAACCGUGACUCUCUCCUCUUUCUCCCUUUUAUAGUCUACAGUCUCUGUAGGCAACUUUAGAGAAGGCCAGACUCUCUUCCCUCCUCUCAUGCCUCACUGAGAAAUUUCCCAGAAAUUUAAGCUGGAAGCUAGGAAAUAACCCCAGUAAUGGUUUCCUGAAAUGCACUGGGCAUUUUCAACUUGACAGGUCCUUGAGUGAGUGUCUACAUCUCUGUAGCAGGAAGUUGCCAUGAUCCUUAUCACUCUUCCCUGGUCCCCUCAUAUCCCCAGAAAUCCAGAGCUUCCAGAAACAGAGUAGAUUGUUGACCUCAGGAGAAAGUAGAUGCAAUGGACUGUUUGUGAUGAGGGGGGAUUCGAUAAUCUCCUGGAACAGAAAUAAUGAAGAUGCAGGCCAGCCUUUACCAUUUAUGACCUGUUUUCUUGGUCUGAUUUGCCCCUUUGGGAGAAACUUAGGGGGCAGGAGCACAAGAAUGGGGGCCCAUAAACACGCCUCAUGUUCUCUGAAGUAAGGUUAAGAGGCAGCCUAGAUAAAAGCUCUCUUUCUGCUUGUCAGAGGCUACAGAGAUGGUGUGGUUCAGGUGUCUGUCACGGUUAAUUUCAUGGGUCAACUUGACUGGGUUAAGGGAUGCCCAGAUAGCUGGUAAAACAUUAGUUCUGAGGGUGCUUCUAGAAAAUAUUAACAUUUGAAUUGGAAGAUUGAUUUGAAGAAGUCAUGGUAAAGAAUCCUCACCAAUGUGGUUGGGCAUCAUCUAAUCCACUCAGGGCUCAAAUAGGGCAAAAAGGAAGAGGAAGAGUGAAUUUGCCCUCUGCUUGAGCUGGGAUAUCCUCUUCUCCUGCACUUGGACAUAGGCGCUCCUGGUUCUCAGGCCUUUAGACUUAGACCAGGACUUACACCAUCGGCCCCCUGAGUUUCAGGCCUUUGGACUCAGACUUACACCACUGGCUCCUCUGGUCCUCAGACUUUCGAAUGGGGACCAAAUUACACCAUUGGUUUUCUUGGUUCUCCAGCUGGCAGACUGUGGGACUUCUCGGCCAAUUCCUGUCAUCAAUCUUUCCAUAUAUCUGUAUCUCUAUCUAUGCAUCUAUAUCUAUAUUUUUAUUUAUCCUAUUGGUUCUGUUUCUCUGGAGAACUCUGACUAAAACAGCAUCUCUACAUAAUUUCCCCCAAAUCAAUAAGGGACUAAAUGGAGCUGAAGUUCUUAUUCUCCAUUUCAGUUUACUUCCUUAAGCAAAUGUGGAAUGUUGCGGAAGACAGAUCUUGUAUAUUCAUUAGGAUUUUGUCAGCUUAAAAGGCAAGAAGGGAGGGAUUUGUUGACUUGUGUACCAGGAAAUCUAAAACAUGACUCUUCAGAGGUGACUGGGUUUAGGGGUUUAAAUAAUGUCGUUAGCUCUGUCUCCCCAUCGUUGGCUUGUUUGCCCCUGUGUUGGCUUCAUUCCCAGGUAGGCUUUCCCCACCUUCUGGACAAGAUGGCCUCCAGCGGCAGUGGCUAUUACUUUGUUUAUGUCUUUCCCACUAUUCAAAAGUAUUCCUGUCCCUUCAAAAGGCCGAUAGGCCUGGCUUGGUCCAAGGGUCCUUACCUGAAGCGACCAUUACAGCUGGGAGGAUGAAGUCCCUGAUGGCUAGCUCACAUCUUGAGCCUGCCAUGUUCGGGAAGACCAGGCAGGGGAUUGGCCAUCCGGUUAGGUAGAGGAGGAACAAUUCUCAAAAGGAAAAUAUACUGGCAGAUAAAAAGUAACAUAUCCAUACAGUUUUAUACUAGCUCAAAAGCUAAUUCAAAUGAACAAGCAAUAGGGCGAGAGAUGUGAGCAAUACAGAGAUUUAUAAGACAGGCUUUUUGUCCUUAAAGAGCAUAUAAUCUAGUUGUUCUGGAAGUUGGCCACAUUCUUUAUUUAAUAAUUUGAGGAAACAUGAAUGACUUCAUUGGAAAAUAUUUUCUGAGUUCUUACUUAAUGCCGGGCAUCAUGCUAGAUUCCUGUCAUACAAGGAAGAAAGACAAACCUCUUCCCACGAGGAGCUUACAGUCAGAUGGAGUAGAGUGAGCCAGACCGGAGGCACGAGGAGUAGUGAGAAGGCUGCUGUGGGAGAGGGCGGAAGAUAUGAAGAGGACUUCCUCACAGAGAAUGCCAGCUCGUAAAGUAGGAGAACUAGCAAAAUCACCAUUUUACAACCCCGAUUAAGGUGAUGCUGGAGAAUUGGGGAAUGAAGUGUCUUGAUAUCGUCAACCUACUUUCAAAUGGCUCCAGAAAAUGUUUAAGAUGUUAAGGAGAGACUGUAACAGGAGUAACUCGCGGACUCUUCCGAUGAUUUCUACUGCCCUUGGAAACCUCCGUAUCACUCCUGCAAUUCCUAACACCUGAUUCUUCUCGUCUCAGAGCAAGAGGGGAGAAGAGCCUUGGCUCAAGGUUGAAGCGGGGCUGGGCAUGUCCUAGGAACACGGCUCCUCCGCGGGGAAUGCGCCUGAGAGCUGGGCUGUCAGUUGGCAGGGAUGUUGUUAUCAGCACUCUGCUGUUCAACUUCACUAUUUGUUCCAAAAAUGGUCAUUGUGAUAACUCAGAAUUAAAUCUCUGGCUGUCCCUUUAACCAUGUGGUUAGCGGCCUGAAUUGCUUAUCCCCAGAGCUGCCUGUGGGUCAUGGGGAGAAAAAACAAGGACAGUGUGUUUCCUUGACUCAGACAAGCUUGCUCCAGGCCAAUGUGGUGACACACUUGUCUCCCUUCCAUUAUCUGGGGCCUGACCCCAGCAUGACACAUUUCCCCGGCCUGAGGCUAGAGGUGUCAGACAGAUCCCGGCUCCAAACAGAAGGUCA